UUGAAUGUCAAAUAUAUGGUCAUUCUGACACUGUUUUUUAGAGGAAACCCGCUGUUGCCACAUAGGCUAUUCUUUUAUGACAGGUGUCACAAGUCAAGGGUAAUCUGAUUUUAAUUGUAUGAAAGAGAAUAUGUGGUUAUAUAUUUUAUAACAUUUUUUAUCAUUUAUACGGUAUUUUAAUUUAUACGAAUGAGAGAAGCAUGAAGUAUGAGUCAUAGCUUGUAUCUCACACGUGAAGCUGUCUUUAAUUAGCAAGGUAGCAAUUUGUAUUAUUGUAGCUUGUGGUAUGGGUGAGUGAUAGAUGAGUGAUAAGCUGACUGGGUGAAUAUAGUGUGGAACUGGGCUAUUGAGUGGAUGAUUUGUCAUUAAUCGCUGAGAGAGAAUCAUUGAACAUUCAGUUUGGGAAAGACUUGGUAGAAGUGUAAGAGACUUUGUGGAAGUUCGGGUUAUUGUUUAACCCAGCUUGUGUGGUAUCUGUUGAGACCAACAACGGGAUGAGCAGCGAGGGGCAAUGUUAGAGUUUGACCAGGUGAUUGGGCUGUGGAAUUAUGUGAAGAAGGGACGAGGAAACUGACGUUGAUGUUAAUUCAUGGAAGUUGGGUACAGCUGAAGUGGAAAUUGAAGUUCCACAUGUGGGCUACUUAUUAGCCAUGAUGUUGUGGUGGUGAAUAACAAGUGUAUUGUUAUCGUGCAGCAUCUCGGUGAAUAACAAGUGUAUUGUUAUUGUGCAGCAGAAACAUAUUGUGUAAAUAUGGCUGUAGUAUUUAGAGCUGAUCUGAAAUGGAGGGUGCUAACUAAUGUUAAUACAUAAUUUAGUUAGAACAAUAUAUGUAUAUAAAAGUUGAUCACGAGGAAGUGAAUCAUAAGGAUUGUGUUAUGAACUGAAACAUUGUAUAUUGAACUGUGUGGUUUUAGUAUAUUAUUUUGUGUGUUGUGAUACGUGAUAUUUUUAUAUGAAAUUAUGUGUAAAGUGGUGAUAAUGUAUGUUUAUUAUAUAUGAGAAGUGUGAGUGUUGAGGGAGUGCUGGUGAUUAGUGGUGUGUGAGAGGGAUAUAAUUAGGGUUAGUAAGUAGGAGUGGAGAAUGAAUGUGAUUGUUAUUUGUGUGCUGUAAAUAAAUGUAAUAUAAUUUA
RNAcentral lists this long non-coding RNA (1130 nucleotides) under Gigantopelta aegis. Its description in RNAcentral is "uncharacterized LOC121370765". Lineage: Eukaryota; Metazoa; Mollusca; Gastropoda; Neomphalida; Peltospiridae. The record is from RNAcentral.